Molecule: non-coding RNA, 45 nt
Organism: Schistosoma haematobium
Lineage: Eukaryota; Metazoa; Platyhelminthes; Trematoda; Strigeidida; Schistosomatidae
Source: Rfam
AUCCAGCUGACGAGUUGCAAGUAGGACGAAACGCACAUCAUGGAU